Molecule: long non-coding RNA, 353 nt
Organism: Zonotrichia leucophrys gambelii
Lineage: Eukaryota; Metazoa; Chordata; Aves; Passeriformes; Passerellidae
Exons: 3
Source: RefSeq, a predicted model, not a curated record
UUCUGUGGAAAGCAGCAUUUCCUGAAGGAAGCAGUCGCUCUUUGUUGCCAGCCCCUGCCACAGGAAAGGAGGAGAUGCCAGACACAGGCACAGGCACAGAAGACUGGGAUACUGGGAAGGCUUCUCCAUUAACCUGGAGGUUUGAAAUUGUGAAGCCCACUGAGGGUUCUGCAGUUACAGAUGUGACUGCAGGGACAACUUCACCAACUCCUGGGCUGGAUAAUGAGCACCAAACCAGCUCCCAUCACCGGGGUGAGUAGUGUGUCCCUGCUGGCCCCACAGGCUGAGCUCUGCAUUUGUGGCAUCCAUUCAUGGGAAAUGGAACUACUUUCUGUCAAGAUCCUCCAACAGUA